RNAcentral lists this transfer RNA (59 nucleotides) under Macaca cyclopis (Taiwan macaque). RNAcentral describes it as "tRNA-Ser". Lineage: Eukaryota; Metazoa; Chordata; Mammalia; Primates; Cercopithecidae. The record is from RNAcentral.
GAGAAAACUCGCAAGGGCUGCUAACCCAUGUAUUCGUACCUAAAAUUACGAUUUUCUCA